Molecule: non-coding RNA, 28 nt
Filed under: Cricetulus griseus (Chinese hamster)
Lineage: Eukaryota; Metazoa; Chordata; Mammalia; Rodentia; Cricetidae
Source: RNAcentral
CUGUGUGAGGGAGAAAGACUGUUGAAUA